AGUCCCCGUAGUAUAACAAAUAAUAAAUUACACCAGCCUUGUAAACUAGAAAUGAAAUAUACAUUUCCGAGGACA
This 75-nucleotide transfer RNA is filed under the name Bradypus tridactylus (Pale-throated sloth). RNAcentral describes it as "tRNA-Thr". The record is from RNAcentral. Lineage: Eukaryota; Metazoa; Chordata; Mammalia; Pilosa; Bradypodidae.